Molecule: long non-coding RNA, 769 nt
Filed under: Struthio camelus australis
Lineage: Eukaryota; Metazoa; Chordata; Aves; Struthioniformes; Struthionidae
Description: lncRNA (ENSSCUG00000012246.1)
Source: RNAcentral
AGGAACAUCAGACUUGCAUGUUGAAGUUGAUUCUACUGAUGUGCAAGAAAUAAUCCUUCUCCCUCAGCUCUGCUGCUCCUGAGCUGCUACUCAGAGGGGGGCCCACCGGUGGAAGAAGUGCUGUUAUCUUCAGCAGAAAAAGCGUUUGGGAUUCAAACCUGUCUCAAAAGCCCCUUAGGAGGGAGACCGCUGCCCUGGUAGAAAUAAUAUGCUUCCAGCAGGCAAGCUAGGUAAAGAUGAGAGUCCUGGAAAAGCAUCUUCCGUGACUGAAUGCUGCAAGGGGCCCAGCUCUCCAUCCCUGAUCUGUAAGAUUGCCAGGCCAAGACGCAGCUGCCAUGUUCGUGAAACUGCGGAGCCCUGCCAUGCGAGUGUACAAGGCACUGUAAAUAGAAGUGGCCCAGUGCUUCCUGCUGCUACCUAACCAUCAAUUUGAUUUGAAGAAGAAGAGAGAAGGAGCAAAAGACUCCAUCCGUGUUAGAUCUAGCAAGGAUCGAGGUGCUUCCCCGGCCAGCUGGAGCACGCGUGGCCAGGAGCGGCAGCAAACGCAGCUCGGUGCAGGCAGACGUGGCUACGUCCCGGCGAACCUGCUGAGCUGUUCUCUGCCCUUGGCUACAGGUAAUUGCUUUGCCUCAUGCAAUUAUAUGGGGUAAUUAGUAAUGGAUUACACAAAGCAGAGCAAAACUAUCAGUGCAGCCUCCUCAUUUGUGGUCUGUCCCUUUAGGAGUGAUUGAUAAUGUGUUUUUAUUUUUUUAUUAUUAUUCUUUUAACC